Molecule: ribosomal RNA, 427 nt
Filed under: uncultured Peredibacter sp.
Lineage: Bacteria; Pseudomonadati; Bdellovibrionota; Bacteriovoracia; Bacteriovoracales; Bacteriovoracaceae
Description: bacterial SSU rRNA
Rfam family: Bacterial small subunit ribosomal RNA
Source: RNAcentral
UAGGGAAUAUUGCGCAAUGGGGGAAACCCUGACGCAGCAACGCCGCGUGAGUGAGGAAGGUCUUCGGAUUGUAAAACUCUUUUAUCAGGGAAAAAUGGUCAUGGAGCUAAUACCCCAUGAUUUGAUGGUACCUGAGGAAUAAGCACCGGCUAACUUCGUGCCAGCAGCCGCGGUAAUACGAAGGGUGCAAGCGUUGUUCGGAAUCAUUGGGCGUAAAGCGCGCGCAGGCGGAUCAGCAAGUCAGAUGUGAAAUCUCGAGGCUCAACCUCGAAACUGCGUCUGAAACUGCUAGUCUAGAAUGUCGGAGGGGGCAGGGGAAUUUCACGUGUAGGGGUAAAAUCCGUAGAGAUGUGAAGGAACACCGGAGGCGAAGGCGCCUGCCUGGACGACUAUUGACGCUGAGGCGCGAAAGCGUGGGGAGCAAACA